CGGAGCAGCAUCCUCCAUCGUCGCCGUACUCAUUCCGUCAAGCAUCCUCCACUGAACUGAAACCACAACGGCAGUACUUCGAGUUUGGGGUGUAUUUCAUCUCGGACGUUGUCUAGUCUCACCAACAUAGGAAAUCAUCCCCAUUGGAGACUUCUCCAGCUCAGGGUACCUCAAUCGAAGCUUCAACUCAGCUUUGACAGGUUGAGCCCAACAAGCAGCUAAUACCACUGUCGAAAGCCUCGCAACGAUAUUACUGCCGCCUUCUCAGGUUUGUCAGCAAGCAGAUCCACCUGGACCUUCACCCUAGCACAACUUGGUCGAGUCUUAUUUAUCGUUGCAAGAUCCAAUUGAAGAGGCUUCCCCACCACAGAAGCAAAUGAGAACAAAACUUCUUUCACAAAGAAAGUUGGCAGCAGAUCAGGGAAUGAAAUACAUGUCGUGGCCUUGGUUGUCUCUUCACUUGCUUUGAAGUUGCAUCAUAAAUAAACGGCCUCAUUUGAUAUGCAUAUCCAUCUUUAGCUAUUAUGUAAUAGGAGUUUUUCGAUAGGAUUUUUAUAUAAUCUUCCAUGCGAUCACAUCUGAUCAGAACAUGUCUAUUUCGAAGCAAGCCUAUCUGACAAGACCCUGAUAAACAACAUUAUUUUGGAAUUAAAUCUCUAAUUUCAUUUAUAUCAGGAGCUCCAUAAGAGAA
Molecule: long non-coding RNA, 691 nt
Organism: Solanum stenotomum
Lineage: Eukaryota; Viridiplantae; Streptophyta; Magnoliopsida; Solanales; Solanaceae
Exons: 3
Source: RefSeq, a predicted model, not a curated record